GGCUCUCAGCUCACGCGAUCAGUGAAUCAGUCUAAUUUGACCAACUUCCGAGGUCAGUGCACGUCCGUGUUUAUGUGAGCCUUCAUAAGCUGGGGCGCACAAAUAUAAGUGGAUAUAAUACGAGACUGACUGGUACAUUUUAACGGCAGUAAAACGAUGUAUGCUAUUGUUGAAUUCGUGGUUGGCGAGAAGCGAGAAUGUGCAUUAGUGCCAGUUUUGUGGCUGGUGGAUAAUAAUACCAUCUGCUACUGGCCACGCACGAAGAAUGAGGAGCAUUUCCUAAAAUUAGUCAAAUCAAAGGCAAUAUAUCAGAAAACAUGGCCCAAGUAUCCUGUUCACAACGUUCUGCAUACUGGAGAAAGCUUCGACGCACUACAAAAGACGAUGACGCACAUCAUAGAACACGGUACAUCCGAGGAAGAUGGCACAGUUUACACCAUUAGUAAGAAAUCCACAGGGCAUUGUUAUGAAAGAGAGUCGCAGAGCAAUGAUGAAGAUGAAGAGGGCAAUGAUGAAGCUGUCGUACGUGAAAAUAUAUCCAAAAAGCGUAAACAUACAAAGAAAUCCAAGAAGAGCAAAAAAAAAAGAAGGUAAAGCGUCAACGUGAGACGUCUUCAGAUACUGCAGAUGAUACAUCAUCAGUUGAUGAAAAUUCUCCACCAACACACCAUCCCACUUCGAACCCACGACAGAAUUUCAACAUAUCCAAUGCAUCACCUGUUAUCGUUUCUGUAAAUGGGACAGCUCGCCCUUCAGCCCACAGUUUGACAAGGUCGGUAACUGAAUAUGACCUAUCAACGUCACAAACUUUAGCCUCAACCUCGAAUUUGGUAGCUGAAGCUGCAACUGUAGUUGCAUCCCGAAAUCCACUGAGGCCCAUUGACGAGAAAGCUCUACAAUAUUUGGAACGUAUAAAAUCUUGUGUAGACCAGAAUCAACUCAUGCUGAGGAAAAUCAUAUCGAGGCAGCAAGCAACUAACGUGGACAGCGUACAAAGGCCAGAGGUAUUUCCAACGCUUCCAAUUGAAACAAUGGAAGAAUUUGCGAACCUCGAAGAACUUCUCAAAUCGAAUGAGCAUCGAAUAUACCUGACACAAAAACUAUCCUCUAUUGGAGGCACAAGUGGCCGUCAAUGCGUAUUGGCUGUUCUCAAGUCAUUACUAACAAACGAAUUAGCCAUGCAGUUCAAUUGGGCUGGUAGAGAUAAAAUUGCUUUCCAAAAGACACUGGUGAUGCAAGUUAUUUACGAUGCUGUUAAAGCUACUUUCCAUGGUAAGGAAUUAGUAAGCGAUAUCAAGGAAGCGAAUAUUGCAGCUGCAGUUAAAGAUUGGUUGAAACUCGCUCGAUCGCGAUACUCCUCGAAAUAAUGUGUCAAUACUUUUUCUAACUCACUCUGCCAGGAUUGUGAUUUUUUUUCAAGUCCCAAGAGAAAGCUAACGAUUUUCCUCAUUGAGGUGUAUCCACUGUAUAAUUAGUUUGUUUUAUGUUUCAUUCGUUGUCAAACCACUCGUAUCCGAUACAAGUUUUUGUUUGUUUAGAUUUACUUAAGUUUACUGUAUGUUGUACUUCUAUACUCAAGUCCGGAGUAGAUGAAAGAUAACGAUUUUCCUCAUUGAGGUACAAUCAUUGUAUGAUUAUUUUGUUUCAUGUUUUAUUUGUUAUCAAAGUACUCGUAUCGGAUACAAGUUUUUGUUUGUUUAUAUUUACGUAAGUUUACUAUUUGCUAUAGCUACUAUACUCUU
RNAcentral lists this unclassified non-coding RNA (1742 nucleotides) under Neodiprion pinetum (white pine sawfly). RNAcentral describes it as "uncharacterized LOC124211851, transcript variant X3". Lineage: Eukaryota; Metazoa; Arthropoda; Insecta; Hymenoptera; Diprionidae. The record is from RNAcentral.